Molecule: small nucleolar RNA, 127 nt
Organism: Colossoma macropomum (tambaqui)
Lineage: Eukaryota; Metazoa; Chordata; Actinopteri; Characiformes; Serrasalmidae
Source: RefSeq, a predicted model, not a curated record
UUGCACUGUUAACUGAGUGAUAUGCCACCUCUAGGCAUGUCUCAAUCAGUCCAGUGCUAGAUAAACCUCAGUUAGCAGAAGGGAGUGCCGAAAAUUGGUGUUUCCCUUUUGAAGGCUGAGAACAAUC